AUGCCUUCCGUGGAACUGCUCCCAUCAAUCUCACUGAUAGGCUGCAUCAGGUUCUUGGAUGGGCUACUGGUUCAGUCGAGAUAUUCUUCUCCCAAUGACCGGCCAGCUGCUGCUUAUGUCCUUCUUGCUCGGCAAGAUUUGGCGAUGUCAACUUUGGCACGUAAAUGCAAGUAUAAGGAAGUUGAAACACCAACAACAAUACCUGUAAACCAGAAGAAAAGAGAGGAAAAAGAAUCACACAAAAAACUUUCUCUCAACCUCAUAAUUUCUCUCUGUUAA
This is a non-coding RNA of Vicia faba (fava bean), 279 nucleotides long. The record is from the annotation of a GenBank genome assembly. NCBI's taxonomy places the organism in Eukaryota, Viridiplantae, Streptophyta, Magnoliopsida, Fabales, Fabaceae.